Molecule: non-coding RNA, 523 nt
Organism: Cucurbita pepo subsp. pepo (vegetable marrow)
Lineage: Eukaryota; Viridiplantae; Streptophyta; Magnoliopsida; Cucurbitales; Cucurbitaceae
Source: RefSeq, a predicted model, not a curated record
UUUCUACUGGAACUGAUCGCGAACAGUUGACAGGGUGCAUCUUAUUGAUUGAUUGUUUCAUCUAUUGGAAUGGAAUAAAAAGCUUUUUUUUUUUUUGGCGGGUGGUAGGCUAACCCGUGAUGAUGUUAUUGUCCUGAACUGCAAGUGUUCGCUUCUUUUUAGAAAAGGCAUUCCCUCACUUGAUUGAAUUGUUCCCAGGUCAUAUCAAUCAGAUUUGCAAUUACUCGUCCACCAUCUGUACGCGCAGCAGUUCAAGGAGAAUGAAAAGUUAUCUCACAGGUACUGAAAGGAGGGGGCCCGAUUCCUGCAUUUGGCAUCUACUUUGAACAACUUUUGAACUUCAGACUUUUUCGUUAUGCAAAUGGAGCUCUGGUUUCUUAGGCUAUGAGGUUGUGCUUUUAUUUUGAGGAAAAUUUUCUCGCUUGUUUGUUGGAAUAAAUUACAACAUUUGUUAUCAUGUGAAUGAUGGCUGUUAUGAAAUAAUCAGCAUUGGGAAGGUCGUAAACCCCUGCAGUCUUCUCAA